RNAcentral lists this ribosomal RNA (252 nucleotides) under uncultured bacterium. RNAcentral's name for it is "partial 16S ribosomal RNA". It matches the Rfam family "Bacterial small subunit ribosomal RNA", at positions 524 to 776 of the family's 1533-position model. The record is from RNAcentral.
UACGGAGGGUGCAAGCGUUAAUCGGAAUCACUGGGCGUAAAGGGUGCGUAGGCGGUCUUACAAGUCAGGGGUGAAAGGCUACGGCUCAACCGUAGUAAGCCUUUGAAACUGUAGGACUUGAGUACGGGAGAGGGUGGCGGAAUUCCAGGUGUAGGAGUGAAAUCCGUAGAUAUCUGGAGGAACAUCAGUGGCGAAGGCGGCUUGCUGGACAAAUACUGACGCUGAGGUGCGAAAGCGUGGGGAGCAAACAGG